This 70-nucleotide transfer RNA is filed under the name Dipodomys ordii (Ord's kangaroo rat). It matches the Rfam family "tRNA". From Rfam's summary of the family: Transfer RNA (tRNA) molecules are approximately 80 nucleotides in length. Their secondary structure includes four short double-helical elements and three loops (D, anti-codon, and T loops). The record is from Rfam by way of RNAcentral. Lineage: Eukaryota; Metazoa; Chordata; Mammalia; Rodentia; Heteromyidae.
GGGAAUGUGGCUUAGUGGUAGAGUGCUUGCCUCACAUGCAUGAAGCCCUGGGUUUGAUACCUCAUUACUA